GACGAUGAGGGGCAUCCCGGGCUUAAAGCGGCUGCGGCUCAAAAUCUGGCGGCGAUGCGCCCUGCUGCUGCUCCUCCUCUGGGCUGCCUGCUGGGUGGUGGUGAGCGCCGCGCUGUUCCUCCUCCACAGGAGCGUCUUCUCCGAGCGCUGCACGGACGAGAAAAGCCACCGGAUCCUGGCCAGGCUGUGUCUUGACUACAGCAGCGGAGCCCUGACUGGAGACCUCUGCGAAGACCUGUGCGUGGCACAGAAGCUGGUGUACAAACACUGCCUUUACUAUGACAGAGGUAAGAAGGUCAUUCAGGCCGAUUGGAGAGGCCAGCCCAUCAUACUGAAAUCCAAAAAAGAAGUCUUUUCCAGCUACCAACACCUCAGUAUGCUGGAGGAGGUGGAAACGCAGGACAUACCUGAAGCAGAGCUUCUGCUGAUGGUGGCUUUGGAGGUCAAAAAUGCCCUGGGGCUAGAACUGUCUAACAGCACCAUGGGGCCCCUGUGGACAAGGAAAAAGGGACCACAUUGGAAAGCACAGGUGGCCAGCAUGUGGUCCUUGCUCCAGCAGGAAGAAUAUAUCUACUUCAGUUUGCUGCAGGACUUCAGCAAACACGUGCUACGAAUUAUUGGCUCUUGUGGACACUUUUACGCUGUGGAGUACCUCACAGCUGGACAUGCCUGGCACAAAACUCUUUUUCCCUUGGAAAACAUGAUUGGUCCCUCCCUUACCGGACACAAAAGCAGGGUAAGAGCCAUCACUGACAUUGCACUCAGCUUUCUGGACAUGGUGCAGCAUUUUGAUAAUGAUUUCUCUCACCGACUUCACCUGUGUGACAUUAAACCCGAAAACUUCGCUAUCAGGCAUGAUCUUACGGUGGUGGCCAUUGAUGUGGAUAUGGCCUUUUUUGAACCCAAAAUGAGGGACAUCCUUGAACAGAAUUGCACAGGAGAUGAAGAUUGUAAUUUUUUUGAUUGCUUUUCAAAAUGCAAUCUGAAAAUCAGAAAAUGUGGAGCACAGAGAGCCAAUAACAACUUGCAAGUAAUUUGUGACAAAAUAUUCCGUCACUGGUUUUCCCCAAAUCUCAGAGGACCGUUGGUUUCCCUCCCCCUGCAGCUGCAGCUGCAGAAAGCUGUGCAGGAGUGUGCUCAGCCAGGGCACGUGGACGCCGUGGGGCACCAGAGGACUCUGAAAUCUCUCUCCGAGUUAUACCACCUGCUUCAGGUCACUCAACGAGAACUGCAAAGGGCAGAGUAGACACAAAAGGCAGGACUGCAAAGGCCACAUGCCAGCCUCUCUGCCAUCCCUCCUACCCACUGUACAUUUACAGCACAGAGAUUGCUUUUCUGCUAUGCAAAUGAAAUUCAUGGCUGCAGGUGCAGUACAUCCUGUUAAUAUCCUAUCAAGUGUGAAAUUGUUUUACAUUACCUGGAUUCUGUUCUUGAUUAUUUUCCUGAGCUAGCACUAUCCCUCUCCAUCAGAAUUCAGCACACUGUUCGCUUACCAAGAGCUGUAGACACUGCAUCUGUCUGAGAGUGGUGCUCAGAGUGAGGAUGCAUUUACAGAAGAAAAGUCUGGCGGUGGAGAAUCUGACACGCAGGUUCAGAAGACACUGCAUGUGCUUCAGCCCAGUACUGGGCAAUGUACCCAUGAGCUGCAUGAGGACAUUAAAACCCCCACAAACAGAAAACCCAGCUGCCUAUGACAUCCCUUGGCUCAGAGGGACUCUUCAAUGUUAAGACUGACAAUACGGGUUUUUGGAUGUGAGACACGUAACAACAUUUAAUCUGUUUCAUCUUUAUAUCCCUCAGCCUUAUGACAGCCGUGAAGCCUGUGAGAACUAAUUAUAUAUAAGCUUUCUGUUUCUGGAGUGGUUCUUUAAAGUGAUGUUAAAGACUGCCUCUGACCAGAAAAAUGGGAGCUGCUUAGGAGACCUUGACCUGUUAAAGACUAGCUCAAAUUUUCAGACUAGUGCCAGGUCUAUUUUAUAUUUCUUGCAAUAAACUGCCAUAUUUUUAAAAAUCGUGCAAGUCCUUAAGAAGCUCAUAGCAAGAGCAGGGUCAGCUGCCUUGCCUGGGGCUGGACAGGUAAGCUUAGGAGCUCCUGACUGGUAAAGCUGUGCUCAGUCCACACUUCUCCUCUAACCAGGCAGAGAAUGUUUCAAUACUUUAAGAUCAUCCUUUGCAAAAGCCGGAAGGCAAAGCAGAAUAAGAAGAAACGUGAACUCCAGAACUAGCCCUGUUACAAAACCACAAAAUUGAUAGAGAAGAUAAUUAAGAUAAAUUAAAUAAAUUAUGGUAAAGGGUUGGGGACAGAUCAAGUAUCAGGUAGACAGAAGAUAAAGAUGUGAAGGAGAAAUAGAAAAAAAAAGUAAAAAAUAUAGGCCUCUUUGUGAAAACAUGAUUUAUGAUGCACGAUUGAAUAAAGGAGCAUUCGGUCUGAGGAAGAAGAGACUGAAGAUAAGUACAGUAACUCUCUUCACAAACAGAAAGAGAAUGAUAAAAAGAGAAUAGGAGAGAACUCUCCUGUCCAGAUUUCCUUGGUGGAUGUGACCAGCAAUGAGCUUAAAUUGUAGCAAGUUAAAAAAUCAGGUUAGACAUUUGUUACAGGCUUUCUGAUAGGAGGGAAGAGUGAAGAUAUGGCACAGAUCAUCUGGGAAAACUUCAGACUUCACAAGUCGUGAUUUCUAACUAUAAGCAAGAGCAAGUGCCUGUAAGGAAUUAUGUACAUGCAGUUAUGCUGAUGAUGCUGCCUCGAGCUAACCUUUUAUCUCCCAGUCCUGUCAUAAUGUUACUAUCAGGUUAUGUUUGUGUUCUUGUGACUCCCUCACAACAAAAUCCCCACUUGUGAGACACAAGGAUACAGAAGUCUCCUUUAUCUUAUACGUGCAAAUCCAUGGGGUCCCCUUGGGAGGGGAAGGCACAGAGAUCUCAAACUGUGCAAAUGAUGCUACAGAGCCUACUGGUGUGAUCGAGGUGUUAUGCUCCACCAUGGCAGGGCUCUCCCUCCCAUUUUCAUGUUCGUAUUUGAGACGGGAUAAAUUUCUAUUGGAUGAGAGGUUACACUUUUAAAACAGGUGGAAAAAAUGCUGUGAAAUAUCAGCUGCUGGCAGUCAAGUGCUGGUGGAAUGUCACUCUCCUCGGAAUGUCCUUCUCUUUGGCAGGAGUUAGGAAGGGAAGUUGCCUUUGACAGAUUUCUCUAACCCCCUCAGGGCCUGGCUGCACCCAUCUCCACCUGGCAGGGACAUCCUUCCCACACACCAGACUUUCCCAGGACAUUAGGUUUCACUUCUUUUCAGGAUACAGAGAAUAAUCCUCAAAAACCUCCCAAGAGCAACACAAAUGGGUUAUUUAUACUUGGGCUGGGCUAUGAGAUUGCAUAUCACUGAUGCAGCCAGCUCUGGCUGGCUUUGGGAUACACCUUGACCAGUGAGUGGAAGAAUAAGGAGAAUCUGACAGGCUGUGUGGGCUUUGUUCUUCACUGCCUGUCCUGCACUUCGUAAAGUCACUAAAUCCUGGGAAAAGGAAGAGAGAAAUACUACCAGUGAAGCAAAUGAAACAUUACAACUUAAUUAGCACAGGUCCCAGUGACCAAAACAGGAAUAAAACAGUAGUUGUGCCUCUGUCUCCCUGGGGCAGAAAGAGAAGAAAAUUAAGACACUGGUUUAGUUGCCAUCUACCUUAAGGAGGAAAGUGCAAAAACUGCUGUCAUUGGAGCCUGUAUGGUUUUACAACCAGG
Myiozetetes cayanensis is the source of this 3727-nucleotide RNA transcript. It is a transcript of the gene named divergent protein kinase domain 1C, with no coding region annotated. The transcript is spliced from 5 exons. NCBI's taxonomy places the organism in Eukaryota, Metazoa, Chordata, Aves, Passeriformes, Tyrannidae. The record is from RefSeq and is a predicted model, not a curated record.